RNAcentral lists this transfer RNA (35 nucleotides) under Frullania polysticta. RNAcentral's name for it is "partial tRNA-Leu". Lineage: Eukaryota; Viridiplantae; Streptophyta; Jungermanniopsida; Porellales; Frullaniaceae. The record is from RNAcentral.
GGUAUGGCGAAAUUGGUAGACGCUGCGGACUUAAA